RNAcentral lists this ribosomal RNA (301 nucleotides) under uncultured bacterium. RNAcentral's name for it is "partial 16S ribosomal RNA". It matches the Rfam family "Bacterial small subunit ribosomal RNA", at positions 509 to 807 of the family's 1533-position model. The record is from RNAcentral.
CAGUAGCCGCGGGAAAACGAAGGGUGCAAGCGUUACUCGGAAUUACUGGGCGUAAAGGGCGUGUAGGCGGCCUGGGGCGUCCCAUGUGAAAGGCCACGGCUCAACCGUGGAGGAGCGUGGGAUACGCUCAGGCUAGAGGGUGGGAGAGGGUGGUGGAAUUCCCGGAGUAGCGGUGAAAUGCGCAGAUACCGGGAGGAACGCCGAUGGCGAAGGCAGCCACCUGGUCCACUUCUGACGCUGAGGCGCGAAAGCGUGGGGAGCAAACCGGAUUAGAUACCCCCGUAGUCCCUGUCUCUUAUAC